This 104-nucleotide microRNA precursor is filed under the name Marmota monax (woodchuck). Lineage: Eukaryota; Metazoa; Chordata; Mammalia; Rodentia; Sciuridae. The record is from RNAcentral.
AGUGGGAUAGCUGGGUCAAAUGGUAGUUCCAUUUCAACUUUUCUGAGGAAUCCCCAUGCUGUUUUGCAUUAUUGGUUGCACCAAUUUGCAGUCCCACCAGCAAU